RNAcentral lists this ribosomal RNA (383 nucleotides) under uncultured bacterium. RNAcentral's name for it is "bacterial SSU rRNA". It matches the Rfam family "Bacterial small subunit ribosomal RNA", at positions 28 to 416 of the family's 1533-position model. The record is from RNAcentral.
GUCGAAUGCUGGCGGCGUGUCUAAGGCAUGCAAGUCGAACGAUCCCUUCGGGGAUAGUGGCAAACGGGAGAGUAACACAUUGGUAACUUACCCUGAACUCGCGAACAACCCAUGGAAACGUGGGCUAAUACGCGAUAUCGAUGGGGGGACGGCAAGUCAUUCCCACUUGAAAGUUACCGACGGUUCAGGAGAGGCCUAUGUCCUAUCAGCUAGUUGGUGAGGUAAAAGACUCACCAAGGCUACGACGGGUACCGGGCGUGAGAGCGUGACCCGGCUCACUGGGACGUGAGACACUGCCCAGACUCCUACGGGAGGCUGCAGUCGAGAAUCUUCCGCAAUGCACGAAAGUGUGACGGAGCGACGCCGCGUGUCGGAUGAAGGCC